This is an RNA transcript of Gadus macrocephalus (Pacific cod), 1928 nucleotides long. It is a transcript of the gene named actin related protein 2/3 complex inhibitor, with no coding region annotated. The record is from RefSeq and is a predicted model, not a curated record. NCBI's taxonomy places the organism in Eukaryota, Metazoa, Chordata, Actinopteri, Gadiformes, Gadidae. The transcript has 7 exons.
CAUGGCAGCUCUUCAAACGACCACACAGCCACAGGAUGUUGCUCCACAACCCACACGGACUCCCCGAACACAGGGAAGCACCCCUACUACGACCAUGAGAUGCAAGCCGACCAAUAACAAGUUGGAGGAGAACUAAUGUAGUCGAGCAGAGGAAGUACAAACUGUCUCAGAAGAGCCUUGCACAAACAUCAAAGUUCACAGCAGGCAAGGGAAGCACAGGAAGAUGUGUACUUAUUGUCACAAUAACCCCAUUAUGCAUUUAAGGAAGAAAAUACCCAUUAUUUAUUUUCAGAAAUGAUAGAUCCAUGGUCAAACUUGUGGUCCUUUUAAAGUUUUUGUAUAAUAGUGUUACAAAGAAUGAAAGCACAUAUAGGCCUAUACAUAAUUAUUUCUGAGCCCCUUAUGGUCAAAAUCAGGUUGCAGCCUGUCUGACUAAAUGUAAAGUUAUGAGGUUGUAAGUUGUAACUAUCCAUAAAUGUACUGCUAAUCAUUCAUCGUAUGCAUGCAUAGGCCUUCUACAGAGCCAAUGUCUGCUGAAUGGAUAACUAAUAUGAUCUACAGUCCAAGAAGAAUUGUUCACCAACACAAUGAUUUGUUUAUAGGCCAACCGCGUUUGACAAAACGAGCGCACUUAAAGUUGUAAAACUAGGAAGUUGGACGAUAAUUCCAGAAGCAUUUGAAGAACUCAAGUUAAUCUCAAAAUGAGCAGAAUUUACCAUAACACAUCCUUGCAAAAUAAACCAGUCCAUAAUGAUAGAAUAGACAGCAUUUGGCCCCCGGCAUCUGACAGCGGGCCGGGGGUCCUUCUCGAGGGAAUGCUUCGGGAUGUCUCCCGACAUGUCAUCACCGACGUCAAUAAUCAGAAGGUGCGUUUCUAUGCAUUGUACAUCAAACCAACCCGUAUCCAUCAGCGAAGGUUUGACCCCAGUGGAAAGGAAAUCGAGCCGAAUUUCAGUGACACCAGGAAGGUCAACACUGGUUACCUAAUGUCCUCCUUCAAGACGGAGGCCAAAGGGGAGUCGGACCGUCUGUCUGAGCAGCAGCUGGCGGCCAUGGUGAACCAGGCAGAGCUGGUGAAGAUAACCUGCCAGCACACACCCAGCGGCGGCACCCUGGCCUUCUGGUACCCCGAGGCCCAGAUGGAGAACACAGAGCUUGAGGUGGGCCAGGCGGUGCGCCUCAAGACCAGAGGAAACAGCCCCUUCAUCUUCUCGUUAGCCCAGGUGGACGCCGGUAACGUAACAAAGUGCAAUUUCGCCGGCGAUGAAAACGCUGGCGCAUCAUGGACGGACAAGAUCAUGGCCAACAAAGCAGGGGCAGCUGGUGUUCAGAGCAACAGCGAAGAGGGACCGGGGGCCGAGGAGGACGAAUGGGUCACGGGUGGUAGACUAAUAUGCCGGUGAAGUCAUCAUGUCCAGGGACACUUUUCCCAGAGCGAUCAUAGCGAGGUUAACACAGGUGUACCCUGCGUUAACCUUGGGACGAAUGAAGCAGAAAUACAAGCGUGAGCCUUUCCCUGCCGUUCUAGUUCCUCGUGGAGCGCUGGCUGACACUCCUCUGUAUCAUUCUACAAGUAUUUGGAUCUUUCACUGAUUCACUCCCUCCAGCCAAAUCAACUGUCUUUUUAAACAAAGACUUUGUUUGAUUAGGCUUCAGCAUAAUAAGAGGUCGGGUUCAUGGGCAUGAGCUCCACUGUUUCCUCCCCCAGUCGUCUUUCAGGUUGCAUUGUGGGUUGUACCCGGUGCAAUAAUGAUGGGACCCAUUCAAUUACAUUUCAAUUCAAUUACAUACAAGAAGAGAAACACAGAUAACCUUGACUGGAAGCCCAGACAGAAAAGCCAUGAAAGGGAGAACAUUUAUGAAACUGUUGUGUGUUAAGUUAAAAAAUACUAAUACAUCUGUAAUAAAACAUAAAACAUUGAAACACA